RNAcentral lists this ribosomal RNA (305 nucleotides) under uncultured bacterium. RNAcentral's name for it is "bacterial SSU rRNA". It matches the Rfam family "Bacterial small subunit ribosomal RNA", at positions 336 to 657 of the family's 1533-position model. The record is from RNAcentral.
CCCCUACGGGACGCAGCAGUCGAGAAUCAUUCACAAUGGGGGAAACCCUGAUGCAGCGACGCCGCGUGAGUGAAGAAGUAUUUCGGUACGUAAAGCUCUAUCAGCAGGGAAGAAUAAUGACGGUACCUGACUAAGAAGCCCCGGCUAACUACGUGCCAGCAGCCGCGGUAAUACGUAGGGGGCAAGCGUUAUCCGGAUUUACUGGGUGUAAAGGGAGCGUAGACGGCUGUGCAAGUCUGGAGUGAAAUGCCGGGGCUCAACCCCGGAACUGCUUUGGAAACUGUACAGCUAGAGUGCAGGAGGGG